UACGAAGGGGGCUAGCGUUGCUCGGAAUUACUGGGCGUAAAGCGCACGUAGGCGGCUCUUUAAGUCGGGGGUGAAAUCCUGGAGCUCAACUCCAGAACUGCCUUCGAUACUGGAGAGCUCGAGUCCGGGAGAGGUGAGUGGAACUGCGAGUGUAGAGGUGAAAUUCGUAGAUAUUCGCAAGAACACCAAUGGCGAAAGCAGCUCUCUGGGACGGUACUGGACGCUGAGACGCGAAAGCGUGGG
Molecule: ribosomal RNA, 243 nt
Filed under: uncultured bacterium
Lineage: Bacteria
Description: partial 16S ribosomal RNA
Rfam family: Bacterial small subunit ribosomal RNA
Source: RNAcentral